RNAcentral lists this ribosomal RNA (494 nucleotides) under uncultured bacterium. RNAcentral describes it as "bacterial SSU rRNA". It matches the Rfam family "Bacterial small subunit ribosomal RNA", at positions 31 to 507 of the family's 1533-position model. The record is from RNAcentral.
GAACGCUGGCGGCGUGCCUAAUACAUGCAAGUCGAACGCACAGCGAAAGGUGCUUGCAUCUUUCAAGUGAGUGGCGAACGGGUGAGUAACACGUGGAUAACCUACCUCAAGGUUGGGGAUAACAUUUGGAAACAGAUGCUAAUACCGAAUAAAACUUCGUAUCGCAUGAUACAAGGUUAAAAGGCGCUACGGCGUCACCUAGAGAUGGAUCCGCGGUGCAUUAGUUAGUUGGUGGGGUAAAGGCCUACCAAGACAAUGAUGCAUAGCCGAGUUGAGAGACUGAUCGGCCACAUUGGGACUGAGACACGGCCCAAACUCCUACGGGAGGCUGCAGUAGGGAAUCUUCCACAAUGGGCGAAAGCCUGAUGGAGCAACGCCGCGUGUGUGAUGAAGGCUUUCGGGUCGUAAAGCACUGUUGUAUGGGAAGAACAGCUAGAGUAGGGAAUGACUUUAGUUUGACGGUACCAUACCAGAAAGGGACGGCUAAAUACGUG